Molecule: ribosomal RNA, 577 nt
Filed under: Blastobotrys sp. NCAIM Y.01950
Lineage: Eukaryota; Fungi; Ascomycota; Dipodascomycetes; Dipodascales; Trichomonascaceae
Description: eukaryotic LSU rRNA
Rfam family: Eukaryotic large subunit ribosomal RNA
Source: RNAcentral
AAACCAACAGGGAUUGCCUCAGUAACGGCGAGCGAAGCGGCAAAAGCUCAAAUUUGAAAUCUGGCGUCUUUAUUAGGCGUCCGAGUUGUAAUUUGAAGAAGGUAACUUUGGUAACGGUCUUUGCAUAUGUUCCUUGGAAUAGGACGUCAUAGAGGGUGAGAACCCCGUAUAUGGUGAAGUGCCCGUUGCUAUGUAAAGUGCUUUCUAAGAGUCGAGUUGUUUGGGAAUGCAGCUCUAAGUGGGUGGUAAAUUCCAUCUAAGGCUAAAUAUUGGCGAGAGACCGAUAGCGAACAAGUACAGUGAUGGAAAGAUGAAAAGAACUUUGAAAAGAGAGUGAAAAAGUACGUGAAAUUGUUGAAAGGGAAGGGCUUGAAAUCAGACUUGGCUUGUAGUGAUCAACUGUCUUUCGGGACUGUGCACUCGCUACUUGCUAGGCCAACAUCAGUUUUGGCGGUGGGAUAAUGACAGUUGAAUGUGACUCUGCUUCGGUGGAGUGUUAUAGCUUCUGUUGAUACCACCAGCUGGGACUGAGGACUGCGUCUUUGACUAGGAUGUUGGCGUAAUGAUUUUAAGCCAC